Molecule: long non-coding RNA, 913 nt
Filed under: Equus caballus (horse)
Lineage: Eukaryota; Metazoa; Chordata; Mammalia; Perissodactyla; Equidae
Description: lncRNA (ENSECAG00000029590.3)
Source: RNAcentral
AGCUUUUCCCAGCCAAAGGAGAGAAGGGAAGGAUGAGCCCCCAACUUCCUCCUUCCUGGGUGUGGCUUCCUUCACAACCCAGACUCUUGGCAUCCUCUUGUUCACUCCCACCCACCCAGCUUGUUGUCAAACCUUUUCGCUAAUGAAGACAUAAAUAGCUCACAAUGCUUGACAGGAGGCUUCUCUUAGCAGUUCUGUGUUUUCACCUGGACCACACACUAAAACAAAGGACUAACCCAAGGGCACAGGUCCAAAGGAUUGCUAUGGCUAAAGGCUGACCAAAGACCAGAGCAAAGAAGAAGGAUGACAAAAUGCAAGAAGUGUUUGAGAGGUGUUGUGGUCCAGUGACGUCGAUUUAAAGCCACGCUUAGAUCAGACUGUUUGGGAAGCAAAGGGGAGAAGUGAGGAUGUUACUUGUCUUGGAAAGAGCCUGCACCAGCAGAGCAGAGGCCAAGCUGUACCUGACAAAUGUGCUAUAGUCUCAGCACUGGAUCUAGGACAGGGGAAAAUGGCUGCUCCGUUUUCGAGAUCCGUCUGGGCAGCUGACUUUGCAGAUGGGAUCUACUGGUUGCAUUUCUAAGCUUGAGAGAUCAUCUUCUCUUUACCUUGAAGGUGUUGGAACCAGUGUUUAAAUUGUGAAAGAUCAUUGCUUCAAGAUGCUGGGACGGCUCUGACAACGAAGAAGGAAAGGCUCAUUUCCUUAUCUAUAAAACAACUCGAUCUUCUGGACUUCAAAGGACUGUUGGUAUCUCGAAUAAGACAAGAAACAUGAGAGUACAUUGUGAAUGACUAUACAAAUGUAAGGAAACUUUGAAAAACAAGAUCUAUUUGAUACCUGAUCUUAAUUUUUUAAACCAUGAAUCAAAAUACUUGGAAAGGAGACUGUAGUUAAGAUGAAUACAGAAGAGGAAUG